Molecule: transfer RNA, 71 nt
Filed under: Marmota monax (woodchuck)
Lineage: Eukaryota; Metazoa; Chordata; Mammalia; Rodentia; Sciuridae
Description: tRNA.Ala
Source: RNAcentral
GGGUGUGUGGCUUGGUGGUAGGCUCAUGCUUAGCAUGAGUGAGGCCCUGGGUUCUAUCCCCAGCACACACA